UAAACUAGGAUUAGAUACCCUAUUAUUUAGAGCUUUACAUUGUAAGUAAAUAAAUAAUUACGAAAGCAAAAAAUUAUGGCGGUAUUUUAAGCUUCUCAGAGGAAUUUGCUCUUUAAUGGAUAAAACACCUAAAUCUUACUUAAAUUUGUUAAGUCAAUUUGUAUACCACUAUUAAAUUAAUUAAUAAUUUUAAUUUAUAAAAUUUAUAUAAAUUUAAAAAAAAUUAAGUCAAGGUGCAGUAAAAGUUUAAGAAUGAAGUGAAUUACAAUUCUUUUAAGAGAUUAUUUAAAUUAAAAUUUUAAUUUAGGAUU
Molecule: ribosomal RNA, 311 nt
Filed under: Rhipicephalus microplus (southern cattle tick)
Lineage: Eukaryota; Metazoa; Arthropoda; Arachnida; Ixodida; Ixodidae
Description: 12S ribosomal RNA
Source: RNAcentral